This is a transfer RNA of Clavispora lusitaniae ATCC 42720, 72 nucleotides long. It matches the Rfam family "tRNA". From Rfam's summary of the family: Transfer RNA (tRNA) molecules are approximately 80 nucleotides in length. The record is from Rfam. Lineage: Eukaryota; Fungi; Ascomycota; Pichiomycetes; Serinales; Metschnikowiaceae.
GCCUUUGUAGCUUAAAUGGUAGAGCGUUCGCUUGAAGCGCGACUGAUGAAAGUUCAAUUCUUUCCGAAGGCA